RNAcentral lists this ribosomal RNA (625 nucleotides) under Bradyrhizobium japonicum. RNAcentral's name for it is "bacterial SSU rRNA". It matches the Rfam family "Bacterial small subunit ribosomal RNA", at positions 62 to 731 of the family's 1533-position model. Lineage: Bacteria; Pseudomonadati; Pseudomonadota; Alphaproteobacteria; Hyphomicrobiales; Nitrobacteraceae. The record is from RNAcentral.
UCGAGCGGGCGUAGCAAUACGUCAGCGGCAGACGGGUGAGUAACGCGUGGGAACGUACCUUUUGGUUCGGAACAACACAGGGAAACUUGUGCUAAUACCGGAUAAGCCCUUACGGGGAAAGAUUUAUCGCCGAAAGAUCGGCCCGCGUCUGAUUAGCUAGUUGGUAGGGUAACGGCCUACCAAGGCGACGAUCAGUAGCUGGUCUGAGAGGAUGAUCAGCCACAUUGGGACUGAGACACGGCCCAAACUCCUACGGGAGGCAGCAGUGGGGAAUAUUGGACAAUGGGGGCAACCCUGAUCCAGCCAUGCCGCGUGAGUGAUGAAGGCCCUAGGGUUGUAAAGCUCUUUUGUGCGGGAAGAUAAUGACGGUACCGCAAGAAUAAGCCCCGGCUAACUUCGUGCCAGCAGCCGCGGUAAUACGAAGGGGGCUAGCGUUGCUCGGAAUCACUGGGCGUAAAGGGUGCGUAGGCGGGUCUUUAAGUCAGGGGUGAAAUCCUGGAGCUCAACUCCAGAACUGCCUUUGAUACUGAAGAUCUUGAGUUCGGGAGAGGUGAGUGGAACUGCGAGUGUAGAGGUGAAAUUCGUAGAUAUUCGCAAGAACACCAGUGGCGAAGGCGGCUCACUG